This 437-nucleotide ribosomal RNA is filed under the name uncultured Alphaproteobacteria bacterium. Its description in RNAcentral is "bacterial SSU rRNA". It matches the Rfam family "Bacterial small subunit ribosomal RNA", at positions 38 to 520 of the family's 1533-position model. The record is from RNAcentral. Lineage: Bacteria; Pseudomonadati; Pseudomonadota; Alphaproteobacteria.
GGCGGCAGGCCUAAAACAUGCAAGUCGAACGCCGUAGCAAUACGGAGUGGCAGACGGGUGAGUAACACGUGGGAACGUGCCUUUUGGUUCGGAACAACACAGGGCAAACUUGUGCUAAUACCGGAUAAGCCCUUACGGGGAAAGAUUUAUCGCCAAAAGAUCGGCCCGCGUCUGAUUAGCUAGUUGGUGGGGUAACGGCCCACCAAGGCUACGAUCAGUAGCUGGUCUGAGAGGAUGAUCAGCCACACUGGGACUGAGACACGGCCCAGACUCCUACGGGAGGCAGCAGUUAGGAAUCUUGGACAAUGGGCGCAAGCCUGAUCCAGCCAUGCCGCGUGAGUGAUGAAGGCCUUAGGGUUGUAAAGCUCUUUCAGCGGGGAAGAUAAUGACGGUNCCCGCANAAGAAGCCCCGGCUAACUUCGUGCCAGCAGCCGCGG